UACGGAGGAUGCAAGCGUUAUCCGGAAUGAUUGGGCGUAAAGCGUCCGCAGGUGGCUAUGUAAGUCUGCUGUUAAAGAGUGAGGCUCAACCUCAUAAGAGCAGUGGGAACUACAUGGCUAGAGUGCGUUCGGGGCAGAGGGAAUUCCUGGUGUAGCGGUGAAAUGCGUAGAGAUCAGGAAGAACACCGGUGGCGAAAGCGCUCUGCUAGGCCGCAACUGACACUCAUGGACGAAAGCUAGGGGAGCGAAUGGG
RNAcentral lists this ribosomal RNA (253 nucleotides) under uncultured bacterium. RNAcentral describes it as "partial 16S ribosomal RNA". It matches the Rfam family "Bacterial small subunit ribosomal RNA", at positions 524 to 776 of the family's 1533-position model. The record is from RNAcentral.